This 407-nucleotide ribosomal RNA is filed under the name Streptomyces flavovirens. RNAcentral describes it as "bacterial SSU rRNA". It matches the Rfam family "Bacterial small subunit ribosomal RNA", at positions 23 to 434 of the family's 1533-position model. Lineage: Bacteria; Bacillati; Actinomycetota; Actinomycetes; Kitasatosporales; Streptomycetaceae. The record is from RNAcentral.
CUCAGGACGAACGCUGGCGGCGUGCUUAACACAUGCAAGUCGAACGAUGAAGCCCUUCGGGGUGGAUUAGUGGCGAACGGGUGAGUAACACGUGGGCAAUCUGCCCUUCACUCUGGGACAAGCCCUGGAAACGGGGUCUAAUACCGGAUAACACUCUGUCCCGCAUGGGACGGGGUUAAAAGCUCCGGCGGUGAAGGAUGAGCCCGCGGCCUAUCAGCUUGUUGGUGGGGUGAUGGCCUACCAAGGCGACGACGGGUAGCCGGCCUGAGAGGGCGACCGGCCACACUGGGACUGAGACACGGCCCAGACUCCUACGGGAGGCAGCAGUGGGGAAUAUUGCACAAUGGGCGAAAGCCUGAUGCAGCGACGCCGCGUGAGGGAUGACGGCCUUCGGGUUGUAAACCUCU